AUAUUCCGGUACCCGCUGUGGAACGUCCAGUAUCGAAUCCAUUAAUGCUAAGGCCGUGAAGCCGCCCUGAUCUCUUCGGAGUUGAGGGGAGUGGUGGAGCCGUCGAACCGAGGUGGUAGUAGGUAAGCGAUGGGGUGACGCAGGAAGGUAGUCCAGCCCGGGCGGUGGUUGUCCCGGGGUAAGGGUGUAGGGCGUUGUGCAGGUAAAUCCGUGCAACAUUAAGUCUGAGACCAGAUGCCGAGCCGAUUGUGGUGAAGUGGAUGAUCCUAUGCUGUCGAGAAAAGCCUCUAGCGAGUUUUAUGGCGGCCCGUACCCUAAACCGACUCAGGUGGUCAGGUAGAGAAUACCGAGGCGUUCGGGUGAACUAUGGUUAAGGAACUCGGCAAAAUGCCCCCGUAACUUCGGGAGAAGGGGGGCCAUUCUGGGUGAUUGGAUUUUCUCCAUGAGCUUGGGGUGGCCGCAGAGACCAGCGAGAAGCGACUGUUUACUAAAAACACAGGUCCGUGCGAAGCCGUAAGGCGAUGUAUACGGACUGACGCCUCCCCGGUGCUGGAACGUUAAGGGGACCGGUUAGUCGCAUUUCGGUGUGGCGAGGCUGAGAACUUAAGCGCCAGUAAACGGCGGUGGUAACUAUAACCAUCCUAAGGUAGCGAAAUUCCUUGUCGGGUAAGUUCCGACCUGCACGAAUGGCGUAACGACUUCUCGACUGUCUCAACCAUAGGCCCGGUGAAAUUGCACUACGAGUAAAGAUGCUCGUUUCGCGCAGCAGGACGGAAAGACCCCGGGACCUUUACUAUAGUUUGAUAUUGGUGUUCGGUUCGGCAUGUGUAGGAUAGGUGGGAGACUGUGAAGCUUGGACGCCAGUUCAGGUGGAGUCGUCGUUGAAAUACCACUCUGGUAGUGCUGGAUGUCUAACCUGGGUCCGUGAUCCGGAUCAGGGACAGUGUCUGAUGGGUAGUUUAACUGGGGCGGUUGCCUCCUAAAGAGUAACGGAGGCGCCCAAAGGUUCCCUCAGCCUGGUUGGUAAUCAGGUGUUGAGUGUAAGUGCACAAGGGAGCUUGACUGUGAGACCGACGGGUCGAGCAGGGACGAAAGUCGGGACUAGUGAUCCGGCGGUGGCUUGUGGAAGCGCCGUCGCUCAACGGAUAAAAGGUACCCCGGAGAUAACAGGCUGAUCUUCCCCAAGAGUCCAUAUCGACGGGAUGGUUUGGCACCUCGAUGUCGGCUCGUCGCAUCCUGGGGCUGGAGUCGGUCCCAAGGGUUGGGCUGUUCGCCCAUUAAAGCGGUACGCGAGCUGGGUUUAGAACGUCGUGAGACAGUUCGGUCCCUAUCCGCUGUGCGCGUAGGAGUUUUGAGAAGGGCUGUCCCUAGUACGAGAGGACCGGGACGGACGAACCUCUGGUGUGCCAGUUGUCCUGCCAAGGGCAUGGCUGGUUGGCUACGUUCGGGAGGGAUAACCGCUGAAAGCAUCUAAGCGGGAAGCCUGCUUCGAGAUGAGAACUCCCACCUCCUUUGAGGGGUUAAGGCUCCCAGUAGACGACUGGGUUGAUAGGCCAGAGGUGGAAGGCCGGUAACGGUUGGAGCUGACUGGUACUAAUAGGCCGAGGGCUUGUCC
Molecule: ribosomal RNA, 1615 nt
Filed under: metagenome
Description: bacterial LSU rRNA
Rfam family: Bacterial large subunit ribosomal RNA
Source: RNAcentral